UGGAGGUGUCCCCCCAGGAUCCACCUCUCAUGGCGAUGGACCUGUCGAAGGGCUACUCGGUCAACCCGCUGACCCGCGGCCACACCGAGGCCAUGGACCUGGCAAAGAAGCCCGAGUGGUACCACAGGCGCCCGCCGGGCUGCAGCGCCGACAUCGGCUCCCCGUUCAGAUCCAGAGCCGCGUCCUCCUACGGCGCCCAGCUGCACCCGGAGCCCGGAGCGCCCGUCCGCUGCAGGGACGCGGAGCAGGGCCCCGAGUCGCUGGGCAACUACAUGAAUUCGACGCUGGCUCCCGGGUUGGAUCUGUACCGCGACGGGGUCCACGGCGGCCUGUGGCACCCGGGCUUCUACGGGCCCGACCAAACCGGCGGCCCGGUUCUCGAAAGCGGCAGCAGCAGCAGCAGCGGCGGCGGCGGCGGGGAGGAGAGCGACAGCGGCUCCGACGUCAUCUUCCUGGUGUCCUCCGCCAAGGAGCCGCUCUCAUGCGGCUCCUUCCUCCAGGACGACGUGAGGCGCGUCGCGGCGCCGUCGUCCCCGGCCGUGUCCUCGCCGGAGGAAGCGAGAAGCUGCCGUCACCUGCCUCGGCCUCCGAGCUCGCCGAGCCCCGACUCGUUGUCGGAAGACUCCUCGGCGAGCUCGGUGGACAUCCCCGUCCACCACACCCGACCCGUGGUGCUCCUGUCGGACCUGGCCGCCGUUUACGCCUACCCCGCCGGAUCGCCGGUGGACAUUUCGAGCGACGACAGCGACGUCGUCGAAGUUCCGAUCGCCGCCGACGGCGAGAAGGAGGCGUCGCCCCGUAAGAGGAGUCUGGCGAGAGAAACGCCUCCGCGGAGCGAGGACGAGAAACUUCAACCCAGAGAGGUUCGACGGAGCACCAGGAUCCGCAGAUCGGCGUCCGACGCGCCUCCGUUCUCCUCUUGCGGCGCGUCCCGGCACAGCUUGAGGAGACGGGCCAAAAGCGACGCGGUGGGCAUCUACAACGAGAGCGGCGACUCGGACGGCGUGGCGAUGGACUACGCGGCAAGGCUGUGCAGCUCGGACGCGGACGAGGAGGCCACCUCGCGGCCGGACGCGGUCGAAAGGGUGAGCGGCAACUCGGAGGAGUCCGACGUGGACGGGAAGUCGCCAGAGAGGAAGUCGCCAGAGAGGAAGUCGCCAGAGAGGAAGUCGCCCAAACGGCGUCCGCCUCGCUGCAAAGUCUCGAACGCCAAAAGCGUCAACCGUAAACGGAAGAAGCCCCUCGGCCUCUGCGAGACGACGGCCGUACGGACUAAACGGAGACAAAACUGCGCCUCCAAAGCUGAGCAGCCGGGAAAGAAAACCAACAAAAAAACGUCGGCGAGACGGAGGAGACGAGUCCGGCGCCCACAGACCGGACCGUCGGCCAUGUUUUCUCCCAGGGAGCCGGAGAUCAAGCUCAAGUACGCCAACAUGGCGGGGAAAAAAAAGAACAAGAAGCCGGGAGCGUUUUUCCCGUUCGUCCACGUGAAGGAGAAGACGUGCACCGUGGUGAACUACCAGGAGGAGGAGGAGGCGGUCCGGAGCAGCAGGGGCCGGCGGCCGGGAGCCACCGGCUCGCCGACCGGGUUCGUCCCCGGGACCACCUGCUUCCGGUUGGGUCGACCCGCCUCAGACGGCGGGUGCCCGGCGACGCCGCUGUGCAGCCUGUGCGGUCACACGGCCAACGCCACGGGCCUCGGGGACCUCCACGGCCCGUACCGCCCCGCCAACCCGCCGCCGGAGCGGCGAGAGGAAGAGCGCGUGGUCGUCAGCAGGCGCUCGGUGAACGCCUCCGAGGACGGCUGCGACGGUUACGACUGCGCCGGCGCCGUCUCCGGCGUCUCUCUCCCGACGCCGGCGCCCGUUCGUCUGGACGAGGGCUGGAUCCACGAGGACUGCGGCAUCUGGUCCGCCGGCGUCUUCCUGGUCCGAGGGAAGCUGUACGGGUUGGAGGAGGCGGCCCGGCUCGCGCAAGAAACGAUAUGUUCUGCGUGCCAACAAAAUGGUGCGAUUAUGGGAUGUUUUCAGAAGGCCUGUCCCAGAAAUUAUCACUACAGAUGUGCCAUUCAGUCGGGUAAAGUACAGAACUGCUCCAGGACCUUUUUUGUGUAUUUAAGCGUUUUAAAUCUCAUUUUGUGCGUCUGUUGUUUCAGGCUGUGUCUUAAACGAGGAAAACUUCUCAAUUAGAUGUCCGCAGCAUAAGAACAAACUGUUGACGGUUGUCACCAGGCAACACAAGAGAUGACCUGAAAGACAUUCGGGGGGAGCUGGAGAAUGAUCCACAGAUCUCCUCGGCUGUUUUUAAAAAAAAACAAGAAAAAACACUAAUUAAAAUUAGUUAACGUGAGAUUUCACAUCAAAGACGGAUCAAUCAGGGGCCACUUUAUUUAUAAGAUGUGUCUUUGUCUCUUUAAGUAAGUGUGUGUGUGUGUGUGUGUGUGUGUGUGUGUGUGGAUAUUUAUUCCUCCUCUUGAAGAUCCACAAACACAUUUGUAUUAAUUGAACAUAGUUAUAUCAGAGUUUAAAUGAGCUUUAUUGAUUUGUGAUAUCUUUUAUACGAGGCCACUUCUUUUCAGUUUUUUUUAUUUUAUUUUUUUGUACAACCUUUUUUUCAAAUUGCUGUCGCGCUUCUUCAGUCGCAUCUCAAAAACAAACGUAUUUAUUUUCAUAAAGCUGCAUGCACAGGUGACGUUUGCUACAAUGCACUUUAUCAGUUGUUAUUUAUGUCGAUUUGUAGACUUUUAACGUCCCCUUUUUACUCUUAUUAUUUAAAUUUAAUAUACGUUUUUAAAGCCUCUAAACGGAGACCACAAACUGUACAUUCAACUUAUUUGAAGCACAUUUUGUUUUCUGGAUGAAUUUUAGAUAUAAAACGUGAAGAAAGAAGAAGAAAUCUCUCAAACGGCAGCGUUUAGUGGUCGAGUCUGUGAAGUCUUCUUAUUGUUUUGUUUAAAUUUAAAGGAUCAGUUUAACUAAAACCAACAAGAAAACUAUUUUAAUUGAUUUUAAUGAUUGAAAAGAAGGAAGAAAAAAACCACUGAUUCCAGCUUAAGGUUGAGGAUUUGCUUCCGGUCUAAAUUUAUUUAUUUAUUGAUCGUAAAAAAAAAAAAAAAAACUUAA
RNA transcript from Cyclopterus lumpus (lumpfish), 3122 nucleotides. It is a transcript of the gene named retinoic acid-induced protein 1, with no coding region annotated. The record is from RefSeq and is a predicted model, not a curated record. Lineage: Eukaryota; Metazoa; Chordata; Actinopteri; Perciformes; Cyclopteridae. The transcript is spliced from 4 exons.